This is a non-coding RNA of Monodelphis domestica (gray short-tailed opossum), 417 nucleotides long. Lineage: Eukaryota; Metazoa; Chordata; Mammalia; Didelphimorphia; Didelphidae. The record is from RefSeq and is a predicted model, not a curated record.
CUUAUAAUUCUGUGUAACGGCUCUUGAAUUACAGGUGAAGGGGGACUUCAGAUUCAUUCUUUAUGUAUCCCACCGCUGAAUAUGUUUUCAUGACCAACCUGUGAUAAAGCAUGACAUCCACUGCCUGACAGACAGUUCACCCCAGCAAGGCGCAGCAAUGUCCCAGCUCUGCCUAAGGGCACAGAUCUCAGAAGACUUCUGCGAGGAUGUUGUUUUCUCUAUUCUGCCCCCAAAGCCCUAGUGUGGAAGCAGGCCAGCUCAAAAAGGCAGAGGGAAAAUGCCAGGCGGUUCAUGCAAGAAUGUGAACCCUGCUCAGAAGAGCCUCAUCUCAACAUUUCACACCCAAAAAGCAGCCAAUUUUUCCUAAGAAUUUCCUGAGAUGUAUCACAAUAUCAAACCCUAGGAAAAAUAUCAAAA